UGGUGGAGGUGCAUCCUAAUCCGGUCACUGGUUAACUGGCAGUGUCUUAUUGGCUCAAAGAAUUUCUCUCCAGGUUUGUCUCAGUCGGCUCCUUCUACUCAGGUGAAGGACUUGUUUGGUUCCACAUCACCACUGCCUUGAAAAGGAAACCAUACGAGGUGAUACAAGUCAGCUUUGAAGAGAAACUGAGGUGGUGUCUGGACCAUGCAUUCCUUGGGCUGCUUUCAAAGGGCUUUUAUCCUUGUAUUUGCCGAAAGUAAAAGGGCAAGGGAGAGGUGGUUCUUUCCUUCUUCACUGUCAGGAGGCAAACUCUCAUUGUCACUUGAGUUUCCGGUCUCUUUCUAAGUGGGUCAUUUGCAAAGUGUGACUGUUCAUAUUUAUUCAGUCGCAUGAUAGCAGCCAUUAUUUAAGGUCAGCAGAGAAACUUUUUAGCGUAUGUCUGUCAUUCCCAACUUGAUCUAGGUUACAAACAUUAAUCUCUGCAAAAAGAUGGAAUUACAUUUCGGGCAAAAGUCUCAAUGUUUUCUUAAGUGGAAGUAUAUAUAAUGAGUCCAUAACUGAAAGAUUUUAUUGAUUGCGUAUAUAAUGCAGAGACAAAGGGAUUGUUCAAAGUUCAAACAUAUAAUAGUUACUACUUCCAAUAUAUACUCAUUUUGUUUUUUCUUCUACUUUAGUUCCUUCUCCUCGCAACAAGAACAAAAGCUAAAAUUAACAUUCUAAAGCAGAUCCAUUUUCAAUCCAUGGACAUGACCAUUGUUGAUGUCACACCUGGAUAUCGCGACAAUCACUUAAAAAAUAUCACUCCAUUGGAAAGAAAACCAGAUAUCCGAUAUCUUGUUUUUUUAAGGAAAAUUGCCUUGUUCAAGGAGUCAUCACCUAGUAUUAUGGAUACUAGAAACCAUAACUGGUCAACAGUGAUUCUAUGGUACGAGAUUGGUUACGUAAAAAAAAAGAUGCUGUCACCCUCUAAGCAUCCUACCUAAGGCAGGCUACAUUGCUGGAUUUGUCUAAAAUUGCUAAGAAUUUGUUCUCCUUUUUCCCUUUUUAUAUUCUUCCUUUCAUGUUCCUGACUCUAGCAUCAGUGAACAAUUUCUACGAAUAUUUUCAACUCUAGCAUUGGUAAAUAUUGCAUAAAUCCAAAAAAUACGAUACUCUUGACUCUGGUGUCAAUGAAUAUUUUUGAAAAAAUGAACUUGAAGAAGAAAUUUUCAAUGUCAUUUUUUCUUGUUUAUCCUUUAUUAUUAUUUGUUCUUUUUAGACGGAAAUUAAAAAAAAAAAAACAUUGCACUAUAGAUUUGCAUUUAACAAUAAUAGGCCACAAAUUGAGCACAUAACUUUAAAAUUACAAAACGCCAAGAAAAAAAAAAUAAAUCAAAGUGCGAGGGGCCCACAAAUAAAUCAAUAAAGAUCCCCAAAUAUUUUUAGAAUUUUCUGAUAUCGAAAAGAGACUCGUUUGACCAAUUAUCAAACUAAAAUGGGCAUAAAAAUUAUGGCCAAGGUAUAAGGAUGUGUUUUGCCAAACACAUCCUUAGCAAACACAAUGUGCCGUUUGGGCCAAAAAACCUAGACCCAACCAAUUUUUUUUUUUUUUGGGGGGGGUUGGGUCUAGCCCAACCCUCUAGGUUGGAAUAAACCCAGCAGCACCGCCCGGUUACCCGAUUGGUUUAAUCUUUAGCUGCAAGUGUCAUGCCUCAAGCAUGCUUGCUACAGAUCCUAGGUAAUUAAAUCGCAAAAUGAAUAGUCUAAUGAAUUAAAAUGAGAGCGGGGAGAGACAGAAGACUUACAUGGUUUGCAGAGAAUUCACGCGAUAUUGAAGACACUGGGUGAAGUUCCCAUCUUCAAGUUCUCUCCUGUUUCUUGUUCUUUCCUUUUCUCUCUCUCUCUCUCGUCUCUUCUGUUUCUUUUUUUUUUCUCUCUCUCUUAUAGAUACUCAUUUUCUUUUCUUUUCGUUGUUCUCUCCCAUUUUUUUCCCUCUGUUUUCUGCGUUUUUCCUCUUCGUGUUUUUUGUGAUUCCCCCGUCCUGGUUCUGUUGAUUGUUGUGUAUUUAUAGGGAGCAAUCUUCCUCUCCCUCAGCCUAACAUCUCUCAUCCCGAUAAGCACGGCUAAGAGAGGCGGUUCCUGCUAGGACUCGGA
RNAcentral lists this long non-coding RNA (2133 nucleotides) under Populus tremula. RNAcentral's name for it is "long non-coding RNA (PTRE_LNC002182)". The record is from RNAcentral. Lineage: Eukaryota; Viridiplantae; Streptophyta; Magnoliopsida; Malpighiales; Salicaceae.